RNAcentral lists this ribosomal RNA (775 nucleotides) under uncultured bacterium. Its description in RNAcentral is "bacterial SSU rRNA". It matches the Rfam family "Bacterial small subunit ribosomal RNA", at positions 8 to 796 of the family's 1533-position model. The record is from RNAcentral.
AGAGUUUGAUCAUGGCUCAGAACGAACGUUGGCGGCGUGGAUUAGGCAUGCAAGUCGAACGAAUCCCACCAGCAAUGGUGGGGGAAGUGGCGAAAGGGGCAGUAAUGUGUGGAUAACCUACCCUGGGGUUGGGCAUAGCCGUUCUAACGAACGGGUAAUUCCCAGCGAUUCGGCGUGAUGGCAUCAUCGUGCCGGGAAAGAUUUAUCGCCUCGGGAGGGGUCCAUAUCGUAUUACCUAGUUGGUGAGGUAACGGCUCACCAAGGGGAAGAUGCGUAGCGGGUGUGAGAGCACGACCCGCGCCACUGGCACUGUGACACUGGCCAGACACCUACGGGUGGCUGCAGUCGAAGAUCUUCGUCAAUGGACGCAAGUCUGAACGAGCGACGCCGCGUGUGCGAUGAAGGCCUUCGGGUUGUAAAGCACAAAAGUGGGGAUAAAAGCCGAAAGGUCUGAUUGAUCCACAGUAAGCUCGGGCUAAGUUCGUGCCAGCAGCCGCGGUAAGACGAACCGAGCGAACGUUGUUCGGAAUCACUGGGCUUAAAGGGCGCGUAGGCGGGCGAUCAAGUCGGUGGUGAAAUCCUACAGCUUAACUGUAGAACUGCCUCCGAUACUGGUUGUCUCGAGGAAGGUAGGGGCGUGCGGAACAGUUGGUGGAGCGGUGAAAUGCGUUGAUAUCAACUGGAACUCCGGUGGCGAAGGCGGCACGCUGGACCUUUUCUGACGCUGAGGCGCGAAAGCCAGGGGAGCAAACGGGAUUAGAUACCCUAGUAGUCC